UGGGGAAUAUUGGACAAUGGGGGCAACCCUGAUCCAGCAAUGCCGCGUGUGUGAAGAAGGCCUUCGGGUUGUAAAGCACUUUUGUCCGGAACGAAACGUGUCGGGUGAAUAUCCCGGCAAACUGACGGUACCGGAAGAAUCAGCACCGGCUAACUUCGUGCCAGCAGCCGCGGUAAUACGAAGGGUGCAAGCGUUACUCGGAAUUACUGGGCGUAAAGCGUGCGUAGGUGGUUUUUUAAGUCCGUUGUGAAAGCCCUGGGCUCAACCUGGGAAUGGCAGUGGAUACUGGAAAGCUAGAGUGCGGUAGAGGGUAGUGGAAUUCCCGGUGUAGCAGUGAAAUGCGUAGAGAUCGGGAGGAACACCAGUGGCGAAGGCGGCUACCUGGACCAGCACUGACACUGAGGCACGAAAGCGUGGGGAGCAAAC
RNAcentral lists this ribosomal RNA (426 nucleotides) under uncultured bacterium. RNAcentral describes it as "bacterial SSU rRNA". It matches the Rfam family "Bacterial small subunit ribosomal RNA", at positions 355 to 773 of the family's 1533-position model. The record is from RNAcentral.